RNAcentral lists this ribosomal RNA (1464 nucleotides) under uncultured Bordetella sp. RNAcentral's name for it is "partial 16S-23S ribosomal RNA intergenic spacer". It matches the Rfam family "Bacterial small subunit ribosomal RNA". The record is from RNAcentral. Lineage: Bacteria; Pseudomonadati; Pseudomonadota; Betaproteobacteria; Burkholderiales; Alcaligenaceae.
AGUUUGAUCAUGGCUCAGAUUGAACGCUGGCGGGAUGCUUUACACAUGCAAGUCCAGACGACAGCACGGACUUCGGUCUGGUGGCGAGUGGCGAACGGGUGGGUAAUGUAUCGGAACGCGCCUAGUAGCGGGGAUGUACGCGAAAGCGUAGCUAAUACCGCAUACGCCCUUCGGGGGAAAGCGGGGGACCUUCGGGCCUCGCAUAUUAGAGCGCUGGCCGAUAUAGGGUUAGCUAGUUGGUGGGGGUAACGGCUCGCAAGGCGACGAUCCGUAGCUGGUUUGAAGAGGACGACCAGCCACACUGGGACUGAGACACGGCCCAGACUCCUACGGGAGGCAGCAGUGGGGAAUUUUGGACAAUGGGGAAACCCUGAUCCAGCCAUCCCGCGCGUGCGAUGAAGGCCUUCCCGGGUUUGUAAAGCACUUUUGGCAGGAAAGAAACGGCAGGAUAAUACCCCGUGCAACUGACGGUACCUGCAGAAUAAGCACCGGCUAACUACGUGCCAGCAGCCGCGGUAAUACGUAGGGUGCAAGCGUGUCAGAUACUGGGCGUAAAGCGUGCGCAGGCGGUUCGGAAGAAAGAUGUGAAAUCCCAGAGCUUAACUUUGGAACUGCAUUUUUAACUACCGAGCUAGAGUGUGUCAGAGAGUGGAAUUCCGCGAUGGCAGUGAAAUGCGUAGAUAUGCGGAGGAACACCGAUGGCGAAGGGGCCUCCUGGGAUAGCGCGACGCUCAUGCAGCGUGGGGAGCAAACAGGAUUAGAUACCCUGGUAGUCCACGCCCUAAACAUGAUGUCAACUAGCUGUUGGGGCCUUCGAACCUUGGUAGCGUAAUAACGCGCGUGAAGUUGACCUGCAGAGUACAGUGCCGGAAUUAAAACUCAAAGGAAUUGACAGGGACCCGCACAAGCGGUGGAUGAUGUGGAUUAAUUCGAUGCAACGCGAAAAACCUUCUACCUUGACAUGUCUGGAAUCCCGAAGAGAUUGGGAGUGCUCGCAAGAGAACCGGAACACAGGUGCUGCAUGGCUGUCGUCAGCUCGUGUCGUGAGAUGUUGGGUUAAGUCCGCAACGAGCGCAACCCUUGUCAUUGAAUUUGCUACGAAGGGCACUCAAUGAGACUGCCGGUGACAAACCGGAGGAAGGUGGGGAUGACGUCAAGUCCUCGCGGCCCUUAUGGGUAAGGGCUUCACACGUCAUACAAUGGUCAGGACAGAGGGUCGCCAACCCGCGAGGGGAACCAAUCCCAGAAACCCGAUCGUAGUCCGGAUCGCAGUCUGCAACUCGACUGCGUGAAGUCGGAAUCGCUAGUAAUCGCGGAUCAGCAUGUCGCGGUGAAUACGUUCGGGUCUUGUACACACCGCCCGUCACCAUGGGAGUGGGUUUUACCAGAAGUAGUUAGCCUAACCGUAAGGAGGGCGAUUACCACGGUAGGAUUCAUGGCUGGGGUGAAGUCGUAACAAGGUAA